This is a long non-coding RNA of Cottoperca gobio, 1602 nucleotides long. The record is from Ensembl. Lineage: Eukaryota; Metazoa; Chordata; Actinopteri; Perciformes; Bovichtidae.
AUUUCAUGUGUAUUAUGUUUCAUUUACAUAUUAUAAAUAUGUAGCACGGCAGCUGCACAUAUAUUAAAUACAUGACUCAAUAAAUAAUAAAGAAAUAUUGAAUAUGACAAUAGGUAAUACAUUUUAUUCUUUUCUAUUUCUCUCCAUAAGCUUUUAUUUUAUUUAGUUUUUAUGUUUUUCUUUUAUCAAGUGCGAUGUUCCAGUCAUAUUUUACAUUCUCCAACUAAAUAAGAACAAUAAGAGUAUAUAGUGACGAACACAGAAUACAAAUAUAUAUACAUCAUAAUAAAUCAAAAGAUAUACAUAUAUAUAAAUACAUUAAAGUAAAGAAGAAACUAACUCUAACUCUUAGAUCAUCAGCUGAACACGAUGACAUCAUUGUGGAGUUAGUCAGGACUUAACUUCAUCUCCAUUGUGUUACUGUGGGGGGGGGGGGGGGGUAACUCCUGCCGUGUUGUCUUCACACAGAUUGUUUUCAGAUAUUUGAUGAAGGUGUUUCCCUGCAGGCGUCUCUCCUCUCGGCGCUGCUCGUCUUCAUGUGUGUCGUCUCGUCUCUCUGCCAGGAGGAAUAUUCUGGACACCACUCAGGUGAGGAACACACCUAUGAAGGCUCUGUGGUCGAAAGCUACGACAACAUCGUCUCUCCUCAGCCAGGUGAGUCACUGUCUGCUGUGACCUGAUGACAUGUGACCAGCAAACUAUAAACAUGGAACACAAACUGUAAAGUUAAAGUUAAAAUAUUAACAACAAGAACUUUGUUACACAUGUUUCCACUUUCAAACCCAGAGAAAUGUGUGAUCUACUCACGGGAGAGGUCCAUAAUGCCGUUGUAUCCCCUCAUGCGGAGAGACUGUGGAUAAGACUCCUCGUGGCAGAACAUUACUCAUUGUGCGUUUAACAGUCUCCUCUGUGCCAUCAGAGUAUCCACCGGAGCCGACUCACAGCUACGACGAGGACGCGAGGUCCGGGGAGAGGGAAUACGACCCCUACGGCCUUGAACCCACCCAGGUCACCAUGAUCACCGCGGACGCCUUCCCCUACGCCACCACGGCCGAGUCCCACUACGCCAAGGAGGACACAGAGACCAUGCAGGUCUGUGGGAGCUGUGGGAGUUCUUUACACAAAGUACAAACAGCUGUUAUCACUUGAUUAUCUGGUGGAUUCAAGGUUUGUGCAUAUAAUAAUGUUUUACAAGAACGGCCUGAAGUGUGUUAUUCAAACGGCACCGGCUCAGUGAAGCUGCAUACAUGGAAUACCACGGUGACACGUCUAACAUGAAACCAUGAAGGGCUUUUAAGGUGCGCAGUAAAUAUCAAGUCAGUGAGAGAGAAAGAGGUGCAUAACACACAGUGUGUGUUCACACUUCCCAUGAUGCAAUAGUGUUGUGUUUCAGGUCCCGUACAAGUAUCCUCCAGCAGGACCGGACUCCUCGGAGGAGUCUGGUGAUGACGCAGCGCUCGGGCAGGAGGGGCCGACAGAGUGCGACUGUGAACCCGGUCAGCCUGGGUUCGCUGGCUUUGCGGGACCAAAGGUGAUUAUACCGUCAGUAGAAUUAGAUCAGAGGCUGCGUGGGACGCUUCAGACUCGCGUGUCUAACAACGC